This 445-nucleotide ribosomal RNA is filed under the name uncultured bacterium. RNAcentral's name for it is "partial 16S ribosomal RNA". It matches the Rfam family "Bacterial small subunit ribosomal RNA", at positions 354 to 796 of the family's 1533-position model. The record is from RNAcentral.
GUGAGGAAUAUUGGUCAAUGGACGAGAGUCUGAACCAGCCAAGUCGCGUGAAGGAAGACGGUUCUAUGAAUUGUAAACUUCUUUUGUGCAGGAAUAAAGUGGGUUACGUGUAACCUUUUGUAUGUACUGUACGAAUAAGGAUCGGCUAACUCCGUGCCAGCAGCCGCGGUAAUACGGAGGAUCCGAGCGUUAUCCGGAUUUAUUGGGUUUAAAGGGUGCGUAGGUGGAUUGAUAAGUCAGCGGUGAAAGUUUGCAGCUUAACUGUAAAAUUGCCGUUGAAACUGUCGGUCUUGAGUGCAAAUGAGGUAGGCGGAAUGUGUUGUGUAGCGGUGAAAUGCUUAGAUAUAACACAGAACUCCGAUUGCGUAGGCAGCUUACUGGAGCGCAACUGACGCUGAGGCACGAAAGCGUGGGGAUCGAACAGGAUUAGAAACCCGUGUAGUCC